Non-coding RNA from Manis javanica (Malayan pangolin), 149 nucleotides. The record is from RefSeq and is a predicted model, not a curated record. Lineage: Eukaryota; Metazoa; Chordata; Mammalia; Pholidota; Manidae.
AGGAUUUCAAGAACAAGAGGAUCAAUGCUUGAUUUGGCUACCCAGAAAAAGAAUUAAGAUACGAUAUGAAGAAGAACUUCCAAUAUCAACAUCCUCAGAAAGAGCUGCUCCAGAGGAUGGCCACCAACAAACUUCACCACUGGAAUGAA